Molecule: ribosomal RNA, 247 nt
Filed under: uncultured bacterium
Lineage: Bacteria
Description: partial 16S ribosomal RNA
Rfam family: Bacterial small subunit ribosomal RNA
Source: RNAcentral
UACGAAGGGGGGCUAGCGUUGCUCGGAAUUACUGGGCGUAAAGCGCACGUAGGCGGAUUGUUAAGUCGGGGGUGAAAUCCUGGAGCUCAACUCCAGAACUGCCUUCGAUACUGGCGAUCUCGAGUUCGGGAGAGGUGAGUGGAACUGCGAGUGUAAGAGGUGAAAUUCGUAGAUAUUCGCAAGAACACCAGUGGCGAAGGCGGCUCACUGGCCCGAUACUGACGCUGAGGUGCGAAAGCGUGGGAAG